UAAUACCGCAUAUGCUCUACGGAGGAAAGCCGGGGAUCUUAGGACCUCGCGCUGCAGGGGCGGCCGAUGUCCGAUUAGCUAGUUGGUGAGGUAAAGGCUCACCAAGGCGACGAUCGGUAGCUGGUCUGAGAGGAUGAUCAGCCACACUGGGACUGAGACACGGCCCAGACUCCUACGGGAGGCAGCAGUGGGGAAUUUUGGACAAUGGGGGCAACCCUGAUCCAGCCAUGCCGCGUGCGGGAAGAAGGCCUUCGGGUUGUAAACCGCUUUUAGUCGGGAAGAAAAGGGCGAGGCUAAUACCCUCGUCACUUGACGGUACCGGCGGAAUAAGCACCGGCUAGCUACGUGCCAGCAGCCGCGGUAAUACGUAGGGUGCGAGCGUUAAUCGGAAUUACUGGGCGUAAAGCGUGCGUAGGCGGUUCGUUAAGUUCGUUGUGAAAGCCCCGGGCUCAACCUGGGAACUGCAAUGGAAACUGGCGGGCUAGAGUAGGCA
RNAcentral lists this ribosomal RNA (493 nucleotides) under uncultured Burkholderia sp. RNAcentral describes it as "bacterial SSU rRNA". It matches the Rfam family "Bacterial small subunit ribosomal RNA", at positions 164 to 652 of the family's 1533-position model. Lineage: Bacteria; Pseudomonadati; Pseudomonadota; Betaproteobacteria; Burkholderiales; Burkholderiaceae. The record is from RNAcentral.